AUGACAGGAAUCCUCAGUGGUUGUGAGGUCUGUUGGAAGCUAGGCAAGUGGGGUCCAUGUAUCCAUGGAAAGUCCAGGUUGGGAGAAAGUCCAUAUAAGGAGAAAGAACUUCUCUCCUCCCGUCAUGUGUCCCCAGGUUCAGUGGACUUCGGCCACCAACGUCAUCACCGCAACGUCAUAUGUCCUCAGGUUCAGUGGGCUUCGACCUCCAACAUCACAACCUCAACGUCAUGUGUCUCCAGGUUCACUGGACUUCGGCCACCAACAUCACAACCUCAACAUCAUGUGUCUCCAGGUUCAAUGGGCUUCGGUCACCAACAUCACAACCUCAACAUCAUGUGUCUCCAGGUUCACUGGACUUCGGCCACCAACAUCACAACCUCAACGUCAUGUGUCUCCAGGUUCACUGGACUUCGACCUCCAACAUCACAACCUCAACAUCAUGUGUCUCCAGGUUCAAUGGGCUUCGGUCACCAACAUCACAACCUCAACGUCAUGUGUCUCCAGGUUCACUGGACUUCGGCCACCAACAUCACAACCUCAACAUCAUGUGUCUCCAGGUUCAAUGGGCUUCGGUCACCAACAUCAUCACGACAACGUCAUAUGUCCUCAGGUUCAGUAGGCUUCGGUCACCAAUGUCAUCACCACAACGUCAUAUGUCCUCAGGUUCAGUGGGCUUCGACCUCCAACGUCACAACCUCAGUAUCAUGUGUUCCAAGUUCAGUGGGCUUUGUCCACCAAUGUCAACAACUCAACAUCAUGUGUCCCCAGUUUCAUGACCUCAACGUCAUGUGUCUCCAAGUUCAGUGGGCUUCAGCCACCAACGUCAUCAUCUCAACAUCAUGUGUUGCCGAAUUCAGUGAGUUCAGUCACCAAUGUCAUGACCUAUCUAUCAUGUGUUCCAGGUUCAGUAGGCUUUGGCCACCGUCAACAACUCAACAUCAUGUGUCCCCAGUUUCACGACCUCAACGUCAUGUGUCCCCAGGUUCAGUGGGCUUCAGCCACCAACAUCAUCACCUCAACAUGAUGUGUCCCCAGGUUCAUGACCUCAACGUCAUGUGCCUCCAGGUUCAGUGGGCUUCGGCCACCAACGUCACGACCUCAAUAUCAUGUGUCUCCAGGUUCAGUAGGCUUCAGCCACCAUCAUCAUCACCUCAGCGUCAUGUGUCCCCAGUUUCAUGA
RNAcentral lists this long non-coding RNA (1182 nucleotides) under Anolis carolinensis (green anole). RNAcentral describes it as "lncRNA (ENSACAG00000041094.1)". Lineage: Eukaryota; Metazoa; Chordata; Lepidosauria; Squamata; Anolidae. The record is from RNAcentral.